This 392-nucleotide ribosomal RNA is filed under the name uncultured bacterium. RNAcentral's name for it is "partial 16S ribosomal RNA". It matches the Rfam family "Bacterial small subunit ribosomal RNA", at positions 523 to 918 of the family's 1533-position model. The record is from RNAcentral.
AUACGGAGGAUCCGAGCGUUAUCCGGAUUUAUUGGGUUUAAAGGGUGCGCAGGCGGCCAUUUAAGUCAGCGGUUAAAUCGUGGGGCUCAACCCCAUUCUGCCGUUGAUACUGGGUGGCUUGAUUGCGGUCGAGGUUGGCGGAAUUCGUUGUGUAGCGGUGAAAUGCAUAGAUAUGACGAAGAACACCGAUUGCGUAGGCAGCUGACCAGACCGCAAAUGACGCUCAUGCACGAAAGUGCGGGGAUCGAACAGGAUUAGAUACCCUGGUAGUCCGCACAGUAAACGAUGAAUACUUGUUUUCGGCGAUAUAAUGUCGGAGGCAAAGCGAAAGCGAUAAGUAUUCCACCUGGGGAGUACGCCGGCAACGGCGAAACUCAAAUGAAUUGACGGGG